RNAcentral lists this ribosomal RNA (466 nucleotides) under uncultured bacterium. Its description in RNAcentral is "partial 16S ribosomal RNA". It matches the Rfam family "Bacterial small subunit ribosomal RNA", at positions 28 to 507 of the family's 1533-position model. The record is from RNAcentral.
GACGAACGCUGGCGGCGCGCCUAACACAUGCAAGUCGAACGAGCGAGAGAGAGCUUGCUUUCUUGAGCGAGUGGCGAACGGGUGAGUAACGCGUGAGGAACCUGCCUCAAAGAGGGGGACAACAGUUGGAAACGACUGCUAAUACCGCAUAAGCCCACGGUGCCGCAUGGCACAGAGGGAAAAGGAGCAAUCCGCGUUGAGAUGGCCUCGCGUCCGAUUAGCUAGUUGGUGAGGUAACGGCCCACCAAGGCGACGAUCGGUAGCCGGACUGAGAGGUUGAACGGCCACAUUGGGACUGAGACACGGCCCAGACUCCUACGGGAGGCAGCAGUGGGGAAUAUUGCAAGAUGGGGGAAACCAUGAUGCAGCGACGCCGCGUGGAGGAAGAAGGUCUUCGGAUAGUAAACUCCUGUUGUUGGGGAAGAUAAUGACGGUACCCAACAAGGAAGUGACGGCUAACUACGUG